GGCCCAGACUCCUACGGGAGGCAGCAGUGGGGGAUAUUGCACAAUGGGGGAAACCCUGAUGCAGCAACGCCGCGUGAGUGAAGAAGUAUUUCGGUCUGUAAAGCUCUAUCAGCAGGGAAGAGAAUGACGGUACCUGACUAAGAAGCCCCGGCUAACUACGUGCCAGCAGCCGCGGUAAUACGGAGGAUGCGAGCGUUAUCCGGAUUUAUUGGGUUUAAAGGGUGCGUAGGCGGUCCGGAAAGUCAGCGGUAAAAGCCGGGGGCUCACCCCCGGCGAGCCGUUGAAACUGUCGGACUAGAGACGGCGAGAAGUACGCGGAAUGCGCGGUGUAGCGGUGAAAUGCAUAGAUAUCGCGCAGAACUCCGAUUGCGAAGGCAGCGUACCGGCGCCCAACUGACGCUGAAGCACGAAAGCGUGGGUAUCGAACAGGAUUAGAUACCCCUGUA
RNAcentral lists this ribosomal RNA (446 nucleotides) under uncultured bacterium. RNAcentral describes it as "bacterial SSU rRNA". It matches the Rfam family "Bacterial small subunit ribosomal RNA", at positions 328 to 792 of the family's 1533-position model. The record is from RNAcentral.